ACAAGCGUGGAUGAUGUGGAUUAAUUCGAUGCAACGCGAAGAACCUUACUACCCUUGACAUGUCCGGAACUUGCCAGAGAUGGCUUGGUGCCCGAAAGGGAAUCGGAACACAGGUGCUGCAUGGCUGUCGUCAGCUCGUGUCGUGAGAUGUUGGGUUAAGUCCCGCAACGAGCGCAACCCUUAUCAUUAGUUGCUACGCAAGGGCACUCUAAUGAGACUGCCGGUGACAAACCGGAGGAAGGUGGGAUGACGUCAAGUCCUCAUGGCCCUUAUGGGUAGGGCUUCACACGUCAUACAAUGGUCGGUACAGAGGGUUGCCAAGCCGCGAGGCGGAGCCAAUCCCACAAAGCCGAUCGCAGUCCGGAUUGUUCUCUGCAACUCGAGAGCAUGAAGUCGGAAUCGCUAGUAAUCGCAGGUCAGCAUACUGCGGUGAAUACGUUCCCGGGUCUU
This 450-nucleotide ribosomal RNA is filed under the name uncultured Thiobacillus sp. Its description in RNAcentral is "bacterial SSU rRNA". It matches the Rfam family "Bacterial small subunit ribosomal RNA", at positions 925 to 1382 of the family's 1533-position model. The record is from RNAcentral. Lineage: Bacteria; Pseudomonadati; Pseudomonadota; Betaproteobacteria; Nitrosomonadales; Thiobacillaceae.